RNAcentral lists this transfer RNA (85 nucleotides) under Notoacmeibacter sp. RNAcentral describes it as "tRNA-Leu". It matches the Rfam family "tRNA". From Rfam's summary of the family: Transfer RNA (tRNA) molecules are approximately 80 nucleotides in length. Their secondary structure includes four short double-helical elements and three loops (D, anti-codon, and T loops). Lineage: Bacteria; Pseudomonadati; Pseudomonadota; Alphaproteobacteria; Hyphomicrobiales; Notoacmeibacteraceae. The record is from RNAcentral.
GGCCGCGUGGUGGAACUGGUAGACACGACAGACUUAAAAUCUGUUGCCGCAUGGCGUCCGGGUUCGAUUCCCGGCGCGGCCACCA